AGAACGAACGCUGGCGGCAUGCCUAACACAUGCAAGUCGAACGAGACCUUCGGGUCUAGUGGCGCACGGGUGCGUAACGCGUGGGAAUCUGCCCUUGGGUUCGGGAUAACAGUUGGAAACGACUGCUAAUACCGGAUGAUGACUUCGGUCCAAAGAUUUAUCGCCCAGGGAUGAGCCCGCGUAGGAUUAGCGUAGUUGGUGAGGUAAAGGCUCACCAAGGCGACG
This 225-nucleotide ribosomal RNA is filed under the name uncultured soil bacterium. RNAcentral's name for it is "partial 16S ribosomal RNA". It matches the Rfam family "Bacterial small subunit ribosomal RNA", at positions 26 to 278 of the family's 1533-position model. The record is from RNAcentral.